GGAAUAUUGGACAAUGGGCGAAAGCCUGAUCCAGCCAUGCCGCGUGAGUGAAGAAGGCCCUAGGGUUGUAAAGCUCUUUCAAUUGUGAAGAUAAUGACGGUAGCAAUAGAAGAAGCUCCUGCUAAAUUCGUGCCAGCAGCCGCGGUAAUACGGAUGGAGCAAGCGUUGUUCGGAAUCACUGGGCUUAAAGCGUAUGUAGGCGGACCAGUAAGUCAGGAGUGAAAUCCCGGGGCUCAACCCCGGAACUGCUCUUGAAACUACUGGUCUAGAAUUCUGGAGAGGUUGGGAGAAUUCCGAGUGUAGAGGUGAAAUUCGCAGAUAUUCGGAGGAAUACCAGUGGCGUAGGCGCCCAACUGGACAGAUAUUGACGCUCAGAUACGAAAGCGUGGGGAGCAA
Molecule: ribosomal RNA, 396 nt
Filed under: uncultured bacterium
Lineage: Bacteria
Description: bacterial SSU rRNA
Rfam family: Bacterial small subunit ribosomal RNA
Source: RNAcentral